Molecule: ribosomal RNA, 404 nt
Filed under: uncultured beta proteobacterium BandBr3
Lineage: Bacteria; Pseudomonadati; Pseudomonadota; Betaproteobacteria
Description: partial 16S ribosomal RNA
Rfam family: Bacterial small subunit ribosomal RNA
Source: RNAcentral
UGAGCGGCCGAUGUCUGAUUAGCUAGUUGGUGAGGUAAAGGCUUACCAAGGCUUCGAUCUGUAGCUGGUCUGAGAGGAUGANCAGCCACACUGGAACUGAGACACGGNCCAGACUCUACGGGAGGCAGCAGUGGGGAAUUUUGGACAAUGGGGGNAACCCUGAUCCAGCCAUGCCGCGUGAGUGAAGAAGGCCUUCGGGUUGUAAAGCUCUUUCAGCCGGGACGAAAANGUUUCGGUUAAUACCCNNNNCNAAUGACGGUACCGGAAUAAGAAGCACCGGCUAACUACGUGCCAGCAGCCGCGGUAAUACGUAGGGUGCGAGCGUUAAUCGGAAUUACUGGGCGUAAAGCGUGCGCAGGCGGUUUUUUAANCAGAUGUGAAAUCCCCGGGCUUAACCUGGGAAC